Molecule: regulatory RNA element, 63 nt
Organism: Corynebacterium sp. ATCC 6931
Lineage: Bacteria; Bacillati; Actinomycetota; Actinomycetes; Mycobacteriales; Corynebacteriaceae
Rfam family: L31-Corynebacteriaceae ribosomal protein leader
Source: Rfam
ACUCAGGCACGAUUCUCCCGCUGUUAGCUGGGUGAAAGCGACCUGAAGUUCAAUCCUGAGGGA